UACGUAGGCAGCGAGCGUUGUUCGGAGUUACUGGGCGUAAAGGGUGUGUAGGCGGUUGUUUAAGUUUGGUGUGAAAUCUCCCGGCUCAACUGGGAGGGUGCGCCGAAUACUGAAUGACUUCGAGUGCGGGAGAGGAGAGUGGAAUUCCUGGUGUAGCAGUGAAAUGCGUAGAUAUCAGGAAGAACACCCGUGGCGAAGGCGGCUCACUGGACCACAACUGACGCUGAGGCGCGAAAGCUAGGGGAGCAAACAGG
This 254-nucleotide ribosomal RNA is filed under the name uncultured bacterium. RNAcentral's name for it is "partial 16S ribosomal RNA". It matches the Rfam family "Bacterial small subunit ribosomal RNA", at positions 524 to 776 of the family's 1533-position model. The record is from RNAcentral.